GCCCGAGUAGCUCAGUCGGUAGAGCAUGAGACUUUUAAUCUCAGAGCUGUGGGUUGGAGCCCCACGCUGGGUG
Brienomyrus brachyistius is the source of this 73-nucleotide non-coding RNA. Lineage: Eukaryota; Metazoa; Chordata; Actinopteri; Osteoglossiformes; Mormyridae. The record is from the annotation of a RefSeq genome assembly.